UAGGGAAUCUUCCGCAAUGGGCGAAAGCUUGACGGAGCAACGCCGCGUGAGUGAUGAAGGUUUUCGGAUCGUAAAACUCUGUUAUUAGGGAAGAACAAAUGUGUAAGUAACUAUGCACGUCUUGACGGUACCUAAUCAGAAAGCCACGGCUAACUACGUGCCAGCAGCCGCGGUAAUACGUAGGUGGCAAGCGUUAUCCGGAAUUAUUGGGCGUAAAGCGGGCGUAGGCGGUUUUUUAAGUCUGAUGUGAAAGCCCACGGCUCAACCGUGGAGGGUCAUUGGAAACUGGAAAACUUGAGUGCAGAAGAGGAAAGUGGAAUUCCAUGUGUAGCGGUGAAAUGCGCAGAGAUAUGGAGGAACACCAGUGGCGAAGGCGACUUUCUGGUCUGUAACUGACGCUGAUGUGCGAAAGCGUGGGGAUCAAACGGG
Molecule: ribosomal RNA, 429 nt
Filed under: Actinomycetes bacterium
Lineage: Bacteria; Bacillati; Actinomycetota; Actinomycetes
Description: Actinobacteria bacterium partial 16S ribosomal RNA
Rfam family: Bacterial small subunit ribosomal RNA
Source: RNAcentral